RNAcentral lists this ribosomal RNA (795 nucleotides) under uncultured Rhodococcus sp. RNAcentral describes it as "bacterial SSU rRNA". It matches the Rfam family "Bacterial small subunit ribosomal RNA", at positions 61 to 872 of the family's 1533-position model. The record is from RNAcentral. Lineage: Bacteria; Bacillati; Actinomycetota; Actinomycetes; Mycobacteriales; Nocardiaceae.
GUCGAGCGGUAAGGCCUUUCGGGGUACACGAGCGGCGAACGGGUGAGUAACACGUGGGUGAUCUGCCCUGCACUCUGGGAUAAGCCUGGGAAACUGGGUCUAAUACCGGAUAUGACCUGCUCUCGCAUGGGGGUGGGUGGAAAGAUUUAUCGGUGCAGGAUGGGCCCGCGGCCUAUCAGCUUGUUGGUGGGGUAAUGGCCUACCAAGGCGACGACGGGUAGCCGACCUGAGAGGGUGACCGGCCACACUGGGACUGAGACACGGCCCAGACUCCUACGGGAGGCAGCAGUGGGGAAUAUUGCACAAUGGGCGAAAGCCUGAUGCAGCGACGCCGCGUGAGGGAUGAAGGCCUUCGGGUUGUAAACCUCUUUCAGCAGGGACGAAGCGCAAGUGACGGUACCUGCAGAAGAAGCACCGGCUAACUACGUGCCAGCAGCCGCGGUAAUACGUAGGGUGCGAGCGUUGUCCGGAAUUACUGGGCGUAAAGAGUUCGUAGGCGGUUUGUCGCGUCGUUUGUGAAAACCCGGGGCUCAACUUCGGGCUUGCAGGCGAUACGGGCAGACUUGAGUGUUUCAGGGGAGACUGGAAUUCCUGGUGUAGCGGUGAAAUGCGCAGAUAUCAGGAGGAACACCGGUGGCGAAGGCGGGUCUCUGGGAAACAACUGACGCUGAGGAACGAAAGCGUGGGUAGCAAACAGGAUUAGAUACCCUGGUAGUCCACGCCGUAAACGGUGGGCGCUAGGUGUGGGUUCCUUCCACGGAAUCUGUGCCGUAGCUAACGCAUUAAGCGCCCCGC